AAUCUUCGGCAAUGGACGAAAGGUCUGACCGAGCAACGCCGCGUGAGUGAGGAAGGUCUUCGGAUCGUAAAGCUCUGUUGCCAGGGAAGAACGCCUGGGGGAGUAACUGCCUUCAGGUUGACGGUACCUGAGAAGAAAGCCCCGGCUAACUACGUGCCAGCAGCCGCGGUAAUACGUAGGGGGCAAGCGUUGUCCGGAAUUAUUGGGCGUAAAGGGUGCGUAGGCGGCCUUUUAAGUCAGAUGUGAAAGCCCACGGCUUAACCGUGGGACUGCAUUUGAAACUGGAGGGCUUGAGUAUCGGAGAGGGUAGUGGAAUUCCCAGUGUAGCGGUGGAAUGCGUAGAUAUUGGGAGGAACACCAGUGGCGAAGGCGACUACCUGGACGAAAACUGACGCUGAGGCACGAAAGCUAGGGGAGCAAAC
RNAcentral lists this ribosomal RNA (422 nucleotides) under uncultured bacterium. RNAcentral's name for it is "partial 16S ribosomal RNA". It matches the Rfam family "Bacterial small subunit ribosomal RNA", at positions 360 to 773 of the family's 1533-position model. The record is from RNAcentral.